RNAcentral lists this ribosomal RNA (499 nucleotides) under uncultured bacterium. Its description in RNAcentral is "partial 16S ribosomal RNA". It matches the Rfam family "Bacterial small subunit ribosomal RNA", at positions 28 to 507 of the family's 1533-position model. The record is from RNAcentral.
GACGAACGCUGGCGGCGUGCCUAAUACAUGCAAGUCGAGCGAAGUUUUUCUGGUGCUUGCACCUGAAAGACUUAGCGGCGCACGGGUGAGUAACACGUAAAGAACCUGCCUCAUAGACGGGUACAACUAGUGGAAACGAUCUCUAAUACCGGAUAAUAUCAUUAACUGCAUGUUUGUUGUUUAAGAUUUGUUUUUUCUAACACUAUGAUGUACCUUUGCGGUGCAUUAGCUAGUUGGUGGGGUAAAGGCCUACCAAGGCGACGAUGCAUAGCCGACCUGAGAGGGUGAUCGGCCACACUGGAACUGAGACACGGUCCAGACUCCUACGGGAGGCAGCAGUAGGGAAUCUUCCGCAAUGGGCGAAAGCCUGACGGAGCAACGCCGCGUGAGUGAAGAAGGACUUCGGUUCGUAAAGCUCUGUUGUUAGGGAAGAAUGUUUGUGUAGGAAAUAUACACAGUAGUGACGGUACCUAAUCAGAAAGCCACGGCUAACUACGUG